AGUGAACGCUGGCGGUAGGCCUAACACAUGCAAGUCGAACGGCAGCACAGAGGAGCUUGCUCCUUGGGUGGCGAGUGGCGGACGGGUGAGGAAUACAUCGGAAUCUACUCUGUCGUGGGGGAUAACGUAGGGAAACUUACGCUAAUACCGCAUACGACCUACGGGUGAAAGCAGGGGAUCUUCGGACCUUGCGCGAUUGAAUGAGCCGAUGUCGGAUUAGCUAGUUGGCGGGGUAAAGGCCCACCAAGGCGACGAUCCGUAGCUGGUCUGAGAGGAUGAUCAGCCACACUGGAACUGAGACACGGUCCAGACUCCUACGGGAGGCAGCAGUGGGGAAUAUUGGACAAUGGGCGCAAGCCUGAUCCAGCCAUACCGCGUGGGUGAAGAAGGCCUUCGGGUUGUAAAGCCCUUUUGUUGGGAAAGAAAUCCAUCUGGUUAAUACCCGGGUGGGAGGACGGUACCGUAAGAAUAAGCACCGGCUAACUACGUGCCAGCCGCCGCCGUAA
This 506-nucleotide ribosomal RNA is filed under the name uncultured bacterium. RNAcentral describes it as "partial 16S ribosomal RNA". It matches the Rfam family "Bacterial small subunit ribosomal RNA", at positions 29 to 523 of the family's 1533-position model. The record is from RNAcentral.